CUAGCGUAAAAUAUUACUGCUGCGGUUAAAAAGCUCGUCGUUGAAUCUAGUCGUGUCCGUUGGGUUUGUCGUUGGCGUUUAUUCGUCUUUGGCGUUAAUUCACGGCCGAUUUUUGCUGGUUUGCUGUUGGUCUUCGGAUCUUCGGUGGCUAGCGAGUUACUUUGAUCAAAUCAGAGUGCUCAAAACAGGCGAAAGCUUGUAUGAUUUCUCGAGGAAUAACAGAAGAGGACUUCGGUUCUAUUUGUUGGUUCCAGAAUCGUUUAAUGGUUAAGAGGGACAAUUCGGGGGCAAACGUAUCCUCGCGCGAGGGGUGAAAUCCGUAGACCGUGAGGAGACGACCAAUAG
This 345-nucleotide ribosomal RNA is filed under the name uncultured eukaryote. RNAcentral's name for it is "SSU rRNA". It matches the Rfam family "Eukaryotic small subunit ribosomal RNA", at positions 594 to 945 of the family's 1831-position model. The record is from RNAcentral.